GAUGAACGCUGGCGGCGUGCCUAAUACAUGCAAGUCGAGCGAACAGACGAGGAGCUUGCUCCUCUGACGUUAGCGGCGGACGGGGGAGUAACACGUGGAUAACCUACCUAUAAGACUGGGAUAACUUCGGGAAACCGGAGCUAAUACCGGAUAAUAUAUUGAACCGCAUGGUUCAAUAGUGAAAGGCGGUUUUGCUGUCACUUAUAGAUGGAUCCGCGCCGCAUUAGCUAGUUGGUAAGGUAACGGCUUACCAAGGCAACGAUGCGUAGCCGACCUGAGAGGGUGAUCGGCCACACUGGAACUGAGACACGGUCCAGACUCCUACGGGAGGCAGCAGUAGGGAAUCUUCCGCAAUGGGCGAAAGCCUGACGGAGCAACGCCGCGUGAGUGAUGAAGGUCUUCGGAUCGUAAAACUCUGUUAUUAGGGAAGAACAAAUGUGUAAGUAACUAUGCACGUCUUGACGGUACCUAAUCAGAAAGCCACGGCUAACUACGUG
Molecule: ribosomal RNA, 497 nt
Filed under: uncultured bacterium
Lineage: Bacteria
Description: partial 16S ribosomal RNA
Rfam family: Bacterial small subunit ribosomal RNA
Source: RNAcentral